RNAcentral lists this ribosomal RNA (535 nucleotides) under Botryosphaeria dothidea. Its description in RNAcentral is "eukaryotic LSU rRNA". The stretch from base 183 to 336 matches the Rfam family "5.8S ribosomal RNA". The record is from RNAcentral. Lineage: Eukaryota; Fungi; Ascomycota; Dothideomycetes; Botryosphaeriales; Botryosphaeriaceae.
UUACCGAGUUGAUUCGGGCUCCGGCCCGAUCCUCCCACCCUUUGUGUACCUACCUCUGUUGCUUUGGCGGGCCGCGGUCCUCCGCGGCCGCCCCCCUCCCCGGGGGGUGGCCAGCGCCCGCCAGAGGACCAUCAAACUCCAGUCAGUAAACGAUGCAGUCUGAAAAACAUUUAAUAAACUAAAACUUUCAACAACGGAUCUCUUGGUUCUGGCAUCGAUGAAGAACGCAGCGAAAUGCGAUAAGUAAUGUGAAUUGCAGAAUUCAGUGAAUCAUCGAAUCUUUGAACGCACAUUGCGCCCUUUGGUAUUCCGAAGGGCAUGCCUGUUCGAGCGUCAUUACAACCCUCAAGCUCUGCUUGGUAUUGGGCACCGUCCUUUGCGGGCGCGCCUCAAAGACCUCGGCGGUGGCGUCUUGCCUCAAGCGUAGUAGAACAUACAUCUCGCUUCGGAGCGCAGGGCGUCGCCCGCCGGACGAACCUUCUGAACUUUUCUCAAGGUUGACCUCGGAUCAGGUAGGGAUACCCGCUGAACUUAA